RNAcentral lists this ribosomal RNA (868 nucleotides) under uncultured eukaryote. RNAcentral describes it as "bacterial SSU rRNA". It matches the Rfam family "Eukaryotic small subunit ribosomal RNA", at positions 1031 to 1783 of the family's 1831-position model. The record is from RNAcentral.
GAAACGAUGUCACCAGCGAUCCGCAGGAGUUAUUCAUGACUCUGCGGGCAGCUUCCGGGAAACCAAAGUUUUUGGAUUCCGGGGGGAGUAUGGUUGCAAAGCUGAAACUUAAAGGAAUUGACGGAAGGGCACCACCAGGAGUGGAGCCUGCGGCUUAAUUUGACUCAACACGGGAAAACUUACCCGGCCCGGACACUGGAAGGAUUGACAGAUUGAGAGCUCUUUCUUGAUUCAGUGGGUGGUGGUGCAUGGCCGUUCUUAGUUGGUGGAGUGAUUUGUCUGGUUAAUUCCGAUAACGAACGAGACUCUAGCCUACUAAAUAGACUUGUUGGCUUGUGUGGAAAUUAAACCGUAUUACGGCUGGCAGCUUAGCUUGAGCCUGUGUCUAGCUUGUAAGGUUUGGCAACAGAUCUUGCCUGUUAGGCCAGGCCAGGCGGUUGUUGGUCGUUUGCGGCGUUUCAAUAACGCCAACAGAUGCUUCUUAGAGGGACAGGCGGCGAUUCAGCCGCACGAAACAGAGCAAUAACAGGUCUGUGAUGCCCUUAGAUGUCCGGGGCCGCACGCGCGCCACACUGAAGUGAUCAGCGUGCUAUUUUAUUCAAUCCUGCUCUGUCAAGAGUGGGUAACCCAAUCAACCUUCUUCGUGAUUGGGAUAGGGGAUUGUAAUUAUUCCCCUUGAACGAGGAAUUCCCAGUAAGCGCGAGUCAUAAGCUCGCGUUGAUUACGUCCCUGCCCUUUGUACACACCGCCCGUCGCUACUACCGAUUGAAUGAUUUAGUGAGGUCUUCAGACCGGCCGGCGCAGUUGUCCUCGUUGAUGACCGUGCUGUGUUUGGAAAGAUGCCCAAACUUGAUCAUUUAGAGGAAGU